This 920-nucleotide ribosomal RNA is filed under the name Streptomyces sp. 1C8. Its description in RNAcentral is "bacterial SSU rRNA". It matches the Rfam family "Bacterial small subunit ribosomal RNA", at positions 46 to 980 of the family's 1533-position model. The record is from RNAcentral. Lineage: Bacteria; Bacillati; Actinomycetota; Actinomycetes; Kitasatosporales; Streptomycetaceae.
GCUUACACAUGCAAGUCGAACGAUGAACCUCCUUCGGGAGGGGAUUAGUGGCGAACGGGUGAGUAACACGUGGGCAAUCUGCCCUGCACUCUGGGACAAGCCCUGGAAACGGGGUCUAAUACCGGAUACUGACCCGCUUGGGCAUCCAAGCGGUUCGAAAGCUCCGGCGGUGCAGGAUGAGCCCGCGGCCUAUCAGCUUGUUGGUGAGGUAAUGGCUCACCAAGGCGACGACGGGUAGCCGGCCUGAGAGGGCGACCGGCCACACUGGGACUGAGACACGGCCCAGACUCCUACGGGAGGCAGCAGUGGGGAAUAUUGCACAAUGGGCGAAAGCCUGAUGCAGCGACGCCGCGUGAGGGAUGACGGCCUUCGGGUUGUAAACCUCUUUCAGCAGGGAAGAAGCGAAAGUGACGGUACCUGCAGAAGAAGCGCCGGCUAACUACGUGCCAGCAGCCGCGGUAAUACGUAGGGCGCGAGCGUUGUCCGGAAUUAUUGGGCGUAAAGAGCUCGUAGGCGGCUUGUCACGUCGGUUGUGAAAGCCCGGGGCUUAACCCCGGGUCUGCAGUCGAUACGGGCAGGCUAGAGUUCGGUAGGGGAGAUCGGAAUUCCUGGUGUAGCGGUGAAAUGCGCAGAUAUCAGGAGGAACACCGGUGGCGAAGGCGGAUCUCUGGGCCGAUACUGACGCUGAGGAGCGAAAGCGUGGGGAGCGAACAGGAUUAGAUACCCUGGUAGUCCACGCCGUAAACGGUGGGCACUAGGUGUGGGCGACAUUCCACGUCGUCCGUGCCGCAGCUAACGCAUUAAGUGCCCCGCCUGGGGAGUACGGCCCGCAAGGCUAAAACUCAAGGGAAUUGACGGGGCCCCGCACAAGCGGCGGAGCAUGUGGCUUAUUCCGACGCAACGCGAAAACUUACCCAGGU